RNAcentral lists this unclassified non-coding RNA (259 nucleotides) under plant metagenome. Its description in RNAcentral is "partial contains small subunit ribosomal RNA, internal transcribed spacer 1, and 5.8S ribosomal RNA". The record is from RNAcentral.
UUUCCGUAGGUGAACCUGCGGAAGGAUCAUUAUUGAAUGAAACACUUCUGGCUUUAUGCUGUUGUGCUGGCCCUUUGGGCAAUGUGCACACGGCUCUGGUCACUUGUUUCUUCUGUUCCACCUGUGCACUGCCUGUAGACACGCUGUGUCUAUGAUAUUUGUUAACACACAACAAUGUUAGUUGGCAUGUUAUAUAUAAUAAUAAAAUAUACAACUUUCAACAACGGAUCUCUUGGCUCUCGCAUCGAUGGAACGCAGC